AUCAAAUACAAACGAACGUGAUACAAUGUUCAUUUUGCAAAAAAAAAAACUAAACAAGGCCUAAGUUGUUGUUGCAUGUAGGAUGUGAAGUCAAUGCUUGCCUUUUUAAGUCUUGUGACUUGUAUGGAGAGGUUACCUAAGAUGUCGUAAUAAGUUUUGAACUAGAUAUACAAUGCAUUGCCUUGAAAAGUCUCAUUUAUUAGAUGGAGGGGUGUAGUUGGCCAUGGUGGUGGCAAGGGGAGGGAGGUCGCCGCGGCCAUGAUAGGGUCUCUCACUGGAGCUUAAACGUCAUAGCAGCAAUCCUAGCUACAGGCCCGUAUCUAGAAUUUUGUGGCCCUGGAGCAAAAUAUAAAAUAUGGCCUCUAUAUCUAGACAAAAUAAAAUAGCUGAACUAGAUUUCAGUGUCCAAUGGUUAAAAUUUUCAAUAAUAAGAACUAUAAUAAGUAGUCCAGGUUUUUAUGUUUGUCAGCUAAGUUAAUCGUGUUGUGUAUGUGUCGGCACUUUUUUUAUUGUCAUGAUCCAGCGAUCCGCAGCUUCGCCACAAUAUUUGUAUCACCUCGAUCAAUAUUGUUUGCUAAUAGUAAUACAAACAAUAAAAUCUCUCCAUAAGUAUUGGGUAAAUACUUACAUAGAUUUUUGUGAGCCGUGUCAAGAAACUAAAUAAGCAACUAACACUUAGGCUAACUGAGCUUAAAGUAAUUAAACUUAAUGACUAAACACUGAUUAGGGGCCCUUAAUUUUUUGGGGCCUAGUGUGAUCGCGCCACUUGCGCUGCCCAACAUACGGGCCUGCCUAGCUAGAGCUAUGGUGGGACCCUACCACGUCGUGGCGGGACAGUGGGUGGCGGCGGCGCAUGGCAUGAGAAUCCAAAAAAAAUCUGGUGCUCUCAAAUGUCUAUGGAAGUGUUUAUGUCUAUAUAUGUCCAGAUUUACUUAGGUCUUUCAAGUAAAGGCAUCUAACUCGCUCGCUCCUCAAAGGCAAACCAUUCUCGAAGUGUUUUUGCACUUAUAAAGCUUUCACCUCUAAAUGAGCAGCUGCACAAUUCAGAAUUCAGGAAUGCCAAAUUUAUAAAUCUUCAACAUUUAGUUAUGUCAUUAGAAGAACACAAUGGCAAGUUGACGGUUAAUCAUAAAUGUUAUGAGAAUUUUAUUAUUCACGUAGUCUCAGGGAGAUGUACAUCUGAACAUGUUUGAAGCACAAGAAGUAUUUGAAGAAUACAUUGAAGUUUUUGGCAAGACGAUAUCAAGCUAUUGUAUGUCAUCUGAACCAUCAGUUCGUUAUGGAGAUGAGGCUGUCUUCUGUUUUUUUGUUUCUUGCAGUUGUUUGUCCUCUCUGCAGCUGUCGAUUUUGUAAUAUGAUUCUGUUUUUUUUUUUGUAGAACCCUCUUUUCUGGUUAUGAUGGUGAUGAUGAGGCUGAUCUAGCCUUCCAUGUUUCUGAGUCUUCUAGUGUUGCUGAUGCUGAUAGUAAUAUUCCCAAUGGUGAAGUAGAUCUGCAUCGCGUCCAUGGUUCCUGAGCCAUUUGCACCAAUUGAAGGUGAAGGCAUGGGUGAUUCGGGUGGCAACCCUCCUACCCAGGCAAUAGAAGUAGUAGCUGGUAUCCUGGUUCCUUUAGUGCCUCUAGUUGAAGGAGGUUCAAGCUCUUCCACCGGCAGCCCGGUUAGGACAGUUGUGGAGGAUGAAGGUUUUUUUUUUUUUUUUUUUUUUUUUUUUUUUUUUUUUUUGCGAGGAUUGUGGAGGAUGAAGUUGUUCCUACAAAUCUCCAUAAUCGACGUUUUGUGGUUGAGUCCGACACUGCAAAGCGGGUUCCUGUGGAACUUUGAUCUCUGUAUAGAAGUAGCAGUUUUUCGCUUUUGAAGGUUGCAUUGUUGA
This is a long non-coding RNA of Sorghum bicolor (sorghum), 1869 nucleotides long. RefSeq lists it as uncharacterized. The transcript has 2 exons. NCBI's taxonomy places the organism in Eukaryota, Viridiplantae, Streptophyta, Magnoliopsida, Poales, Poaceae. The record is from RefSeq and is a predicted model, not a curated record.